GGAUGUGAGCGCGAUCUGGCUGCGACAUCUGUCACCCCAUUGAUCGCCAGGGUUGAUACGGCUGAUCUGGCUGGCUAGGCGGGUGUCCCCUUCCUCCCUCACCGCUCCAUGUGCGUCCCUCCCGAAGCUGCGCGCUCGGUCGAAGAGGACGACCUUCCCCGAUAGAGGAGAGGACCUUUCUUCGGUCAAGGGUAUACGAGUAGCUGCGCUCCCCUGCUAGAACCUCCAAACAAGCUCUCAAGAAAUUACAGAUUAACUUAAAGUGAAGGAUCUACUUUUGCAAUUUGAUAGUUGUUCUUU
Molecule: small nuclear RNA, 300 nt
Filed under: Mustela putorius furo (domestic ferret)
Lineage: Eukaryota; Metazoa; Chordata; Mammalia; Carnivora; Mustelidae
Description: 7SK RNA (ENSMPUG00000023265.1)
Rfam family: 7SK RNA
About the family: 7SK was discovered as an abundant small nuclear RNA in the mid-70s but a possible function has only recently been suggested. Two independent studies have found that 7SK RNA binds the CDK9/cyclin T complex (known as elongation factor P-TEFb).
Source: Rfam by way of RNAcentral